RNAcentral lists this ribosomal RNA (254 nucleotides) under uncultured bacterium. Its description in RNAcentral is "partial 16S ribosomal RNA". It matches the Rfam family "Bacterial small subunit ribosomal RNA", at positions 524 to 776 of the family's 1533-position model. The record is from RNAcentral.
UACGUAGGGUGCGAGCGCUAAUCGGAAUUACUGGGCGUAAAGCGUGCGCAGGCGGUCUGUUAAGACCGAUGUGAAAUCCCCGGGCUUAACCUGGGAACUGCAUUGGUGACUGGCAGGCUUUGAGUGUGGCAGAGGGAGGUAGAAUUCCACGUGUAGCAGUGAAAUGCGUAGAGAUGUGGAGGAAUACCGAUGGCGAAGGCAGCCUCCUGGGCCAACACUGACGCUCAUGCACGAAAGCGUGGGGAGCAAACAGG